Molecule: long non-coding RNA, 6854 nt
Filed under: Sus scrofa (pig)
Lineage: Eukaryota; Metazoa; Chordata; Mammalia; Artiodactyla; Suidae
Description: lncRNA (ENSSSCG00000052209.1)
Source: RNAcentral
UCACAGUAAGGUAAGCUAACAUUUAAAGGCCAAAUAUGAUUAUGGUCAUCAAAUAAAGAGAAUGGGAUAUAAUAUUGCUAGCAUAUAAUAUGGUCUUUAUGCAAGCUCUAAAUGGGAUAAUAUAUAGUAUUCAUUCAAUCCCAAAUAUUUUUUUUAAAUAAAUCAAUCUUGAGCACAUGGACAAACUGCAUUAAAAACUCAUACAGACUUUUUUCCCCUAUCAGAGCCAGUGGUUCUCUUGCUUCUCACUUAAGUCUUUUACUCAGUUUUGACUGAGUGGGUAUUUCCCACCAGAAAGAGAAACUCACAUGUCUGUGUCAAAAUAUUCAAUUUGGUAGCAUCAUGGAGAGCAAAAUGGAAAUAAUCCUAUAGUUGAGGGAGCAUGACAAGGAAGCCACAAGACCACCACUCAGCUUCAGAAAACCAAGAGAACAGCCAGGCCUCAGUCUGAGAGACCACAAUUUCAUUCAUCAGUCAAAUGAAUAUGCUGUUUGCUCUUCAGAGAGAUUUUAUAUGACAUAUCCAUUUAAAAAACUGGGACUAGCUUUGUUGGAUAAAGACUUGGGAAUUAGGCAAUCUUAUUGAACAAGUAGUGAUAAUUAAACCUUCUAACCCGAGGCAUGGAGUGAACCAGGAUGAAUAGCCAGAAAGAGUUUUAUAAGGGAAAACAUAAAAAUUAUACCUUAUAGCAAAAAAAAUCAAUUCCCUAUUAAAUCACUGGAUAAUCCCUUCAAUCAUAACAUUUUGUUGUUUUCUUAGCUGGGAAACCUUGGUGUCUAAGCUUUAGUUUGUCGUACAUUUCAUCUAAAAAGGUCUAGGAAUUCCCUGGUAGCUCAGUGGGGUUAGGAUCGAGGAUCAUUGCUAUGGCUCAGGUCACUGCUAUGGCACAGGUUUGAUCCUUGGCCUGGGAAUUUUGCAAGCUGUCUUUUGACAAAGACAUUUUAGGUUAUCAUAAUCAUCCUCUUCUUCUCUUAACAUGUUUGUAUUCACUGAAUUCUCAGCCUUUAAAAACUUUCUCAGGUUACUAAACUAGCCAGAAGGAAAAUCCCUGUCCAACAAGUUUCUCCCCUCCCCCUCACCUCCUUGCCCAAUCUCAGUUCCUGGUUCCCUUUUUCUGCCUUUGCCCCCUGGACCUUCUCACUUCAGUGGUCCUGUCAAUAGAACCAGGGGUUUUCAGGCACACUAGUAAGGUUUUUACAACUGCUGCCUUGGAGGUCAGAUAAAUCUGGCCCCAAGUAUUGGCGCUAGCCACAGUUUAGCUUAGGGACUCUGAAUAAGCUAUUUUUAGCCUCUGUGCUUCAUUUUCUCCAUCAGUAAAAAAAGAAUAAUAAUGAUGCCUACCUCACCAUAAACACUUCACACUAAGAAUAUCUGCUAGCUAUUUUGAGGAUAAUUUUUAAUCAAUUUUUAGUAUUUCCCUGUUCCACCCAUAUAGCACAGUAGGGUGGAACAUAUAAUAAUAAUAAUAAUGCCAAUAAUAAUUAAUAACAGCAUUCAUCAAAUAUUUGCUAUGUAUUAAGCUUUUCUAAAUGAACUAUGUUAUAUUAGCUUAAUUUUUACCCCACUGUUCAGUUGUUCUCUUAUCCACAUUUAUAGUUCAGGAAACUGAACCUCAAAAAUUUAAAACUUACCCAAGUUCACAUGAUUAGUAAAUGGUCAAGGUGAGACUUAAUAAGUCCAGAAAUUGCUUAUACAUACAGUCAUUAAGGUUUAGACUAGAGGUCAGCAGACUUGGGAUCAAGCCCCAGGCUGAUCAGUUGUAAGCUGAGUUACCUCCAGUUAUUCACUGCAUCUCUUUACUUCAGAUUCCUCAUCUCUAAGAUAAGCUGAAGUGUUACCUCUCUAUCCACAAGAUAUGGUGAGGAUUACAUUAGGGAAUUGGAAUACCUGAUUAGUUCUCACAAGUGUAAGUUAUUUUUUAUUAAUUUUAGGUAAUGUUAUAAAUGCUGGAAGAGCUGUUUAAAUGGAGAUGCUGCUGCUGCUGAUUUUCAAAGGGCCUUGAUCACUGCAGGAAAUAGAGAAACAAAUUCAGGCUAAGGUCAUCUUAGCUCUUGGGAACUUAGGAUGCUGUCUUCUUUGUUAAUGAUAUAGUAUUUGGGGGGUAUUCCUUCACUGCUCAACCUAGUAGCAAGGAUCUUACGAACUAAGGUUACUGAGAUCCUUCCACUUAAGCCAAGAUCUCUGUCUACUGGGGGAAAAAAAAUAUGAUCUGGACACUUGCUUUGGUGAACCAAAAGUCAAGAUGAUGAGCAAGGUCUUUUCUAUGGGAAACUGUUUUAUACAUCACUACAGCUAGGGUGAUCUCUGCACAAUCCUAGUCUGAGGGGAACCAUCCCCUGGAUUAACAUCCUUCAAUGUGUUUAUUGUUCUGGAGAUAACAUACACAAUCCACAUCCCAGUCUCCAUAUCCAGCAUGGCUGUCUGUCUCCCUGUCUCCUUUUUUAGCCAUAGCACGCCCCUCUCCUCCUAGCUUUACACUCUGGUCUUCUUGAAAGCCCUUCUCCCCAAAGGGCCCUUGCAUGAGCUCUCUCUCUGCCUAGUACUUUCUAGCCCAUUGCCUUUUCCUUCUCUAGGUGACUCAGCUCAAAUAUCUCUACCUCAGAAAACUCCCUGGCCUGCCUGAUGAGGUCAAAUCCCCCUAUUAGAAAUUUUUAUUGGAUCCAGUGGCUCUCCUUCACACUCUCAAUACAACUGUACAUUUAUCGACUUGAUUAUCUAACUCAAGUCUCUCUCCUCCAACAGACCAAAUGUUCCAAUAAACCCAUCUGAGGGCCAAGACCUUCGUGAUCCAUAAGUAUGUGUUGAACCCACGAGUGAGUGGGAAUAUUUGUUGCCUUUAGUGGGUUCUCCAUUCUCAUUUGAAAAGCAAAUAAUAGAAGCCAAGCUCCCCUGCUUUUCAUCCUCUUAAAUAUGUAACUUUCUUCCUGGAAAUGAUGGAAUAUGGAAAACACACAAAGCCAUCCAAGAUUUUCUAAAUAGAACAAGGCAGAAAAAGCAAAAGAAAAGUGAUAUUUUUCUCCCUUUGUAUAGAAACAGUUGAGGGAGGAAACAAAGUAAAAUAAUUAAAGAGAAGGUAAGUAGAUUAAAUUAUAGUGACUUCCAAGAAGCUGUCCAUCAAAAUUUUUUAAAAAAGAAACUGGAACAAAGGAAGCAAUAAACAUAAUGGGAUUGUGAAUUCUGAUGAGGAAAUGUAAGGGAAAAGAAUCAGAGCUUCAUUUUCUUUGCACCGUUUUUAAUUUGAUUUAGCAUUCUGUCAUUGUUGGCUGUGUUUUAAAAGAACGUCUUUCAGGAAUUUGCUUGUGUUUCUUUUGCUUUAACCAUGACAUCAUCAAGAGCAUGUAUGAAUGCGAUUGUGGAGUGUAGGAGUCUGGUUGGCUCUGCCACUCACUGGCGCCAUGACCCCUAAUAAAUUACUUCUUCCUCUGGAAUCUACUUCCUUCAUCCAUUAAAUGGGGAUAAUAAAAGCACCCAUCUCAUGCACUUGAGACAAGCCAGUGAGAUGAUGCAACAAAGUCUUGACACUGCUUGGCAUACAGGAGAAGCUUAAUAAACAUUAGCUGUCAUUAUUAUCGCUGGCAGUUCUUGGUUGUCUUUCAAAAUUCUAAUCUGAAUCCUCAUUUUCAGGUAACUGCAUUUAUCUCAAAUGCUAGGUCACUGUUAGGAAGAUCAUGUAUGGAUUCAUUGCCUUCUUGACAAAAGUGUCAACUCUUCCAGACAGGGUUCCAUUGUUUAUGUCUCCAGAGAAUAAACCAGUUGAUUAUCUUUCCCUGAAUCUGAGACUCUAGCUUUCUCUCACACCUACCUCUGAAUGCCUCAGAGGGUCUUCUCAUUCUGGCUUAUUGCAUACUGAAAGAAGAAUAUUAAAGGAGAAUCCUAUGCUAUUCUAAGUGAUAUGGGUAAUUCAUUUGAAGAUUCAUAUCUAUAUUUUCAUGGGAAUACUAAGGGAUAGAAGCUAUUGUUACUAAAUAGUCAAAUCUAAGACUAAGGAAAAUGCUUUGCUCAGAAUAAUCAAAGAAUAGAGGAGUUCCCGUCGUGGCGCAGUGGUUAAUGAAUCCGACUAGGAACCAUGAGGUUGCGGGUUCGGUCCCUGCCCUUGCUCAGUGGGUUAACGAUCCGGCAUUGCCGUGAGCUGUGGUGUAGGUUGCAGACGCGGCUCGGAUCCCGCGUUGCUGUGGCUCUGGCGUAGGCUGGUGGCUACAGCUCCGAUUCAACCCCUAGCCUGGGAACCUCCAUAUGCCGUGGGAGCGGCCCAAAGAAAUAGCAAAAAGACAAUAAAUAAAUAAAUAAAUAAAUAAAUAAAUAAAUAAAUAAAUAAAUAAAUAAAAGAAUAGAGUUGGAGAACACCUAAUAAGUUAUUCAGUCUACUGGUCCCAAACCUGUCUCCAUAUUAGAAUCACCUGGAAACUUUUCAACCAACGCACAGUCCCAGGAAGACCCCAAACUACUGAAUAUGAUUUCAACAAAGGAGAACCAGGCAGUCUGAUGUUUUAGACUUCUCCCUGGGUGAUUAUGAUGAUUGGUCAGGGUGGAGAAUUCUGAUUUGGAACAACAGGUGACAAAAGGGUGUCAUCUCACUGCCAACACAGUGGAUCAAGUAUAACUAAUUGAGGGAUGAAAUGAGAAGCAGUCUGUCACUGUUUCUGGGUCCAUUAAGAAAGUGUACUAUUCACUUAAUGUUUCAUCUGGUCUUAGUUUAGGAGAAUGGUGGUUCCUGUGCCUUGUAUUCACCAGAAUUGAUCUAUUUCAGUAUUCUCAUUUUCAAGAUGUGACAUGAGAAGGAAACUGACUUACUCUAUCUGUUGGCUAUAGCUUAUUUCCAACCUUUCCCCAACAUCAUCAGCUUAAAAAACAAUCAGGAAUUCCCGUUGUGGCGCAGCAGAAACAAACCUGACUAGGAACCAUUUGGUUGCAGGUUCGAUCCCUGGCCUUGAUCAGUGGGUUAAGGAUCCCGCAUUUCUGUGAGCUGUGGUGUAGGUUGCAGACACAGCUGGGAUCUGGCAUUGUUGUGGCUCUGGUGUAGGCCAGCAGCUACAGCUCCGAUUAGACCCCCAGCCUGGGAACCUCCAUAUGCCGUGAGUACAGCCCUAAAAAAAGGACAAAAGACACACACACCAAAAAAAAAUCAUGUAUUUGGUCAUGAUUUUAUGAGUAGCCUGGAUGGGUUUUCUGGUCUGGGUUGACUGACUAGGGCUAAAUGAUCUAGUAUAAUUUCAUUCACAUUUCUGCAGUUGGAAGCUGAUUAGUCUAGUGGGCGUCAUUCAUUCACAGUCUGGAUAUAGGCUUAAAUUCAAGCAUCAUCCAGCAGGCAAGCCUGAAUUUUUUCACACUUGGUAACCAGAGAGCAAGGCCUAGCAUCCAAGCACUUUUCAAAGCUCUGCUUGCAUUUAUUUGUGAAUGUUUCAUUGACUGAAACACAUUACUGAGCCAAGCCUGGCCUCAACAGUUAGAGAAAGAGAUGAUACUUCUUCACAACACAAGAUGGGAUGGGAUGCAAAAUAACAAAUGAGUGUGCACACAGGCAAAGAACUUUGUGAUUAUUUUGCAAUCUGCAACCCUUGUCUAAAAUCACAAGUGAUUUGUAGGAGAGUUAGGACCAGAACUCCUGGUGCUUAUUUCCCAGUUUUGCCUACAAUAAAAACAAAGGAAGUGUUCCAACAAUUUAGCCUCUAAUGUAUAUUUGGACUUGAAAAGUAGAACACUCUUGGCAGAACAGGAGCUAGAGAUAGUCAAUCAGUCUGUAGGAUGUGGGACUUGUCUCCACCAAAGAUGGCUUUGAGGAAGAUGUCCAAUGGGUUCUAACAGACUCAGACUGAUUUUAACCAAGGUCAUUUCCAAGGAACCCAGCAUGGCAAGGGAGGUGUGGCAACAAGAAGUUUCUGGGCAGUGGCUACUUAAAAUUCAUAGAGUAGCAGCAUCAUGAUUCCCUGGGGAUCCCAAAACCUGCCAGCAGGACAGGAUCAGCCUGGAAGGCAAGAGGGUUCUAUUGAGAUCUGUGUUGUUUGCUGAGUUCCAGUGUAAGUUCCUCCAGGUUUUGCAAUGCUUAACUCGAAGGGAGGCCACUCAUAUGGACUAAUAGGUGAAUGGCACCCUCUGGUGUGGUGUUGGGCAAUAUGGUGGUCCUGGUUUGCUAUUUCAACAGGGAAGUGUAGGGCUUUCAGCAAAACCAUGCUUUAUCUCAGUUAGAUGAACUGAGUAAAAUCUCUCACAUCAACACAUCAAGAAGUUGGGAUAAAACAGAAUAUGCACUUGUUUGGAAGGUGAUAAUAAAAAUAUUAAGAACUAUCAUUUAUCAAGUACCUACAAUGUGCUAGAUAUUAUCCCCAGCACCUGAUAUAUGUAAUCUCUAAUAUUCACCAAAGGUGGGAAUUUUUAUUUAAAGCCCAUUUCCUAUGUGAGUAAAGUAAGGCUCAGAGAAGUUAUAAGAUUUAUUUGCCUAAGAUAACAUGACUAAAUAGUUAGUGAAGGCGCUUGACUGCCACCCCAGAUCUAUCUGAUGCAAAAUCUUGAGCUCUUUCUUGUACAGCAUCUUUCCUCACUUCAGGUGGACUUUGAUGGGACCAUCACCAAGACCAUUAGUGACCCCCCUCUUAAAGGUAAAGUCCACCAUUUUCCCCUCAAAGUAUAGAUAGAUACAUCAGCAGCUUGAAAACAUAUUACUUUGACUUCCAUUUAGGAAGGCAAAAUAGCAUAACAUUUUAUUAAAGUCAUGAGUCUAAAAAGAGAAACUUAAAAAAAAAACCUAAAUAUCAUUUUUGCCCAGUUACUUGGAAAUAAGGCAAUCAUCACAUGAUUACUUAUGCUGGUAAUGAAAUUAAGAUAAAGUUUCAUCAAAAUAGCAUAUGCAAUUUUACAGC